Oxyura jamaicensis (ruddy duck) is the source of this 384-nucleotide long non-coding RNA. RefSeq lists it as uncharacterized. The record is from RefSeq and is a predicted model, not a curated record. NCBI's taxonomy places the organism in Eukaryota, Metazoa, Chordata, Aves, Anseriformes, Anatidae. The transcript is spliced from 3 exons.
CCCCCCAGGAUAGAGAACGGGUUUGUAAAGGGGGAAGAUUUCCUGUUUGGGACAACUGUAGAGUUCUCCUGUCGUGCUGGGUAUAAAUUAGAAGGGUCAUCUUCUGCCCAAUGUGUGGCAUCAGGAAAUGGAGUUCGUUGGGAUGUAUCUCUUCCAACCUGUAAAACUGCAGGACAGCUGACUGGUCUCUGUGGAGAGCCACCUGCAGUUGCCAAUGGGAGGCACAAUGGCACGCGGGGGGGUUGCCCACGGCUCUAUUGUAGUUUAAAUGUAAUCAUGGUUUCACCCUGGCUGGAGGGAUCUCUAUUCGCUGUACAGCAAGAGAUGAGUACCAUGGAGUCUGGAGCAAACUGUGAUAUAUAAGCGGGUUGAAUGCAAACUGUG